AAUUAUUAUUAGAUUUUUAAAUAAUUAUUCACGAAAUAAAUUGAGCUAAAUUUUUGGUAUUUUUGGAAAUUAUAACUAUAUGUUACAAAAUAUAUUAACUAAAUAGAUUUAGGGGUGAAAGGCCUAUCAAAUUUUAUGAUAUCUUGAAGUAUAUAAAAUAUAUCAAGUAUUUCUAAUUCAACUAUUGAAUGUUUAGGUUCAAUAGUAACAUUAUAUUUUUUAAAAAUUGUUCAAUUUUUUUAAGUAAAAUUGAGUUAGAGCAUAAAAUAUACAUCAAAUUUUAUUAUAUGAAUAUAAAUAUACUACGGUUAUUAAUAAACAUAAUCAUAUAUAAUGUAAUUAUUAGUAAUAAUUUAUUAAACUAUAUAAAGGAAUUCGGCAAGAAAAUUUUUCACCUGUUUAUCAAAAACAUAGCUUAUUGAAUAUCAUAAUAAGUAACCCCUGCUCAAUGGAAAUCUAAAUAGCCGCAGUACCUUGACUGUGCAAAGGUAGCAUAAUCAAUUGGCUUAUAAUUGAAGUCUGGAAUGAAUGGGUAAUCUGGAAAAUAACUGUCUUUAUUUGUAGUAUUUUGAAUUUACUUAUAAAGUGAAAAUACUUUAAUAUAAAUAUAAGACGAGAAGACCCUAGAAAUUUUUUGUUAAUAACUUUUGUUGGGGCGACAGGGUAACAUAUAAACUUACUUACAUUUAUAUAAAUCUUAUAAGGUACGUAACUAAAUUACUCUAGGGAUAACAGCAUAAUAUAUAAAAGUUUAUGACCUCGAUGUUGGACUAGGUAAUUAAAUAUUUAAAAGAUAUCUUAAUUUGCUCUGUUCGAGCAGUAUCACCUACAU
Molecule: ribosomal RNA, 832 nt
Filed under: Perforatella incarnata
Lineage: Eukaryota; Metazoa; Mollusca; Gastropoda; Stylommatophora; Hygromiidae
Description: Monachoides incarnatus partial large subunit ribosomal RNA
Source: RNAcentral